RNAcentral lists this ribosomal RNA (253 nucleotides) under uncultured bacterium. RNAcentral describes it as "partial 16S ribosomal RNA". It matches the Rfam family "Bacterial small subunit ribosomal RNA", at positions 524 to 776 of the family's 1533-position model. The record is from RNAcentral.
UACGGAGGAUCCGAGCGUUAUCCGGAUUUAUUGGGUUUAAAGGGUGCGUAGGCGGCCCGUUAAGUCAGGGGUGAAAGACGGUAGCUCAACUAUCGCAGUGCCCUUGAUACUGGCGGGCUUGAAUGGACUAGGGGUAGGCGGAAUGAGACAAGUAGCGGUGAAAUGCGUAGAUAUGUCUCAGAAGACCGAUUGCGAAGGCAGCUUACUGUGGUACUAUUGACGCUGAGGCACGAAAGCGUGGGGAUCGAACAGG